AAAAGCCCUCUGGAGUUUCACUUUUUAAUUCUUCUGCAACGCUGUUUCGCUUUUUCAGCAAUACCUACAAGUGUUUGCGUCAUUAGGUGAUUCUACAAAGAGCUGGGACAAUGUGGCUGUGUUAGUUGAUGAAACAAUUAUACCACAAGCGCUGUGUAGCCCAAUCCUACAGACCCCAACACGCCAGAACAUAAAACAAAAGGCCCUUCUAAUAAGGAAUAAGAACGCUGGAAACAGACAAUCCGUCCCUGAACAAAGGAUCCGUAAGGGUGAUGCCUACUCGAUAGCCCAUGCGGCUGAAAUCAACCAUGAUAAAAGGUCAUGUGCUUCUCUAAACCUCUCUGUGAAAGCUGCUACCCCUAAAAACGUUCACCAUUGUAAGCCUAAGAAGCAAUUUAUUGAGAUGAGUUGAA
This is a long non-coding RNA of Perca fluviatilis (European perch), 413 nucleotides long. RefSeq lists it as uncharacterized. The record is from RefSeq and is a predicted model, not a curated record. Lineage: Eukaryota; Metazoa; Chordata; Actinopteri; Perciformes; Percidae. The transcript is spliced from 4 exons.